UGCCUCUCCAACACAAACACCCGCUCCUCUCCUCUCCGGCCCUCCCUCUCCGCCGCGUCCUCCAGCUGCUGUCAGUGAGGAGCCGACACAUGUUUACCUAUUCGGUAUCGCGCCGAAACGACACAAAGGUGGAAGAGCAGAACCUGGGAGUCACGCCACACGGCUGGAGCGCCGUUGGACAUGCCGCUUGCUAAUCAUGCUCCGGGGCAGGCGGUGCAGCCUGGAGGUCCUCACGGCCUCCAGCUGGAAGGGCGUGAGCAGCAGUCACCUCCUGAAGACGUGAGCGUCCAGCAUUUCUUAUAUUACUGACCUGUAUGUAUAAAUACGGCUGGAGCGAGAACAUGUUGAAUGAAGUAUCUAUCUACCUAUCUAUCUAUCUAUCUCUCGAUCCACCUACCUACCUAUCCAUCCAUCCAUCCAUCUAUCUAUCCAUCUAUCCAUCUAUCCAUCUAUCCAUCUAUCCAUCUAUCUAUCUACCUACCUACCUAUCCAUCCAUCUAUCUAUCUAUCUCUCGAUCCACCUACCUAUCCAUCCAUCCAUCAAUCUAUCUACCUAUAUAUCUAUCUAUCUAUCUCUCGAUCCACCUACCUAUCUAUCUUUCUAUCUACCUAUUUAUCUAUCUAUCCAUCUAUCUACCUACCUAUCCAUCUAUCUAUCGAUCCACCUACCUACCUACCUACCCAUCCAUCCAUAUAUCCAUCUAUCCUUCUACCCAUCCAUCUAUCCAUCUAUCCAUCCUUCUAUCCAUCUAUCCUUCUAUCCAUCUAUCCAUCUAUCCUUCUAUCCAUCCAUCUAUCCUUCUAUCCAUCUAUCCAUCCAUCCAUCCACCUAUGUGUAAUAGAUACCAUUUCAAAAAGCCAUCCAGGAGUGCUGUGAUGGGAGGAGAGAAGGUGAGUCUGACUCAGAGCAGCACGAGGAGCCGACUUCUGGGAAGUCAUCUGGUUGCCCACUUUCCCCUCUGCUCCUUCUCCUCUCCUCCCUCCCUCCUCACCCUCUCCACUCAGUGUUCUCACCUCCUCUCCCCAGGCGCUCCCCUGUGGGCGGGGCGACGUGCUGGAGGGGAAACCGACGUAGUAACGCAACAAAUUUGGCAGUUACCCCGACACUAACCGCUGGCGUGUUUGAGCCGUUGCCGUGGUGACCAGCGGGCUCCCGCAGCAGGGACCGGGCCUCCUGUUUUUCGCACCUAGAAGAGAGGAAGCAGCUUGGGAUGGAAGGUGUUGGUUACAGGAACAAAGAGGGUGGAGGGAGGUGGACUCACUUGCACUUUUACUUUGUUAUAUCUUUUAGUUGUGUUCUGGUUAAGCUCAAAUUCUGAAUACCAUGUUUAUUCACAUUUCUUUCUAGACCGUGCUCUGGGAUAUCACCACGCACAUAAACAAACAAAUAAUUUCAAAUGAGGCCUCAGAAACCAUUGAUAGUGAGCCAAACCGCUAAAGACAACAAUAACUGGAGUAACAUUCAUCACAAUCCUGGCUAAUAUCACUACAACAGGAAACUUUCCCAGUAACAUUUUAUUCCGGGAACUGAUUUAGGUUUUUAUGAAAAGGACAGAAUGUUGCAUGCGUCAACACAGAAAUGUUGUCUUUGUGUUUCCUGGAUGAUAAAAGGAUAUUGAUGCAUAAACACACAGCCAUUAUA
Pseudoliparis swirei is the source of this 1642-nucleotide long non-coding RNA. RefSeq lists it as uncharacterized. The transcript is spliced from 2 exons. NCBI's taxonomy places the organism in Eukaryota, Metazoa, Chordata, Actinopteri, Perciformes, Liparidae. The record is from RefSeq and is a predicted model, not a curated record.